RNAcentral lists this ribosomal RNA (536 nucleotides) under Streptomyces sp. RNAcentral describes it as "bacterial SSU rRNA". It matches the Rfam family "Bacterial small subunit ribosomal RNA", at positions 102 to 653 of the family's 1533-position model. Lineage: Bacteria; Bacillati; Actinomycetota; Actinomycetes; Kitasatosporales; Streptomycetaceae. The record is from RNAcentral.
ACGGGUGAGUAACACGUGGGCAAUCUGCCCUUCAUCUGGGACAAGCCCUGGAAACGGGGUCUAAUACCGGAUACGAGUUUCACAGGCAUCUGUGAUUCUGGAAAGCUCCGGCGGUGAAGGAUGAGCCCGCGGCCUAUCAGCUUGUUGGUGAGGUAGUGGCUCACCAAGGCGACGACGGGUAGCCGGCCUGAGAGGGCGACCGGCCACACUGGGACUGAGACACGGCCCAGACUCCUACGGGAGGCAGCAGUGGGGAAUAUUGCACAAUGGGCGAAAGCCUGAUGCAGCGACGCCGCGUGAGGGAUGACGGCCUUCGGGUUGUAAACCUCUUUCAGCAGGGAAGAAGCGAAAGUGACGGUACCUGCAGAAGAAGCGCCGGCUAACUACGUGCCAGCAGCCGCGGUAAUACGUAGGGCGCAAGCGUUGUCCGGAAUUAUUGGGCGUAAAGAGCUCGUAGGCGGCUUGUCACGUCGAUUGUGAAAGCCCGAGGCUUAACCUCGGGUCUGCAGUCGAUACGGGCUAGCUAGAGUGUGGUA